RNAcentral lists this non-coding RNA (49 nucleotides) under unclassified sequences. RNAcentral's name for it is "Li+-I sequence". It matches the Rfam family "nhaA-I RNA". Rfam says of the family: Acidobacteria, Alphaproteobacteria, Betaproteobacteria and Gammaproteobacteria, Verrucomicrobia, cand. division NC10. Downstream gene The record is from Rfam by way of RNAcentral.
GGGUGCAGCAAACUUGUUGCAGGAAUCUGAAAGGUCGGGCCGCCUUUUA